Equus asinus (donkey) is the source of this 2261-nucleotide long non-coding RNA. NCBI's taxonomy places the organism in Eukaryota, Metazoa, Chordata, Mammalia, Perissodactyla, Equidae. The record is from Ensembl.
UCUCAAAAGAUGUCAGGGAGAAUUCCAUCCUCCUCUGUUUUAUCUGAAAAACUUCAGGAUCGAAUGUUUGACAGAAUUCUUCGUAAAAACAUCUGAUCAUAAAGUUUUCUCUAUGAGAAUGUUUUUUGAUUAAUUCCUUUUCAUGAGAGAGUGAGAGAUGUGGAGAUCAAAGAUCUGCAGUCAGAGUAUCAGCUAGAGAAGAUCGAUUACUUGGCCACCAUUUGUUGGCAAAAAUGUAACUUCAUGCUCUUCCAGCAGCUCCUGGAGCAGGUGCAGCCACUGAUUCACCGGGACUGUUAAUUUCUGCAACCUGGAGAAGAUUAGGCGCAAAUCCUGCUGGGAUGAGGAUAAUGGCUUCUGGAAGAUUCUAGAGCCCAUCAUCUUAAAAACCAGUCUCCCAGUAGUUUCAACAGGGCCACAGAACAAACCAGGCUACAAAACCUCUGCAGGAGACAACGGCGAACCAUGCAUGCGGGAGCAAGACCCCUAGAAGCUGAUGCUCAGUUGGUCGGACUGUGAAAAUACUGCCAGUAGCUACUUCGGUUCAAGCUGGCCACCCAGACCCUCUGCACAGAGACCCCCGAGGAGCCUCAUGCAUCCAGAGUCGCUGCCAGGCCUGCACAGCUUCUCUGCCCUCCCGCCCCGCUGCAGCUCCGGCCUUUCCACCUCGAAUCCCCCCACAUCCCCUUCUUGGAGGUCACGCAGCAGGAAAAGCAGAAGCGCCUUUGGCGGUGGGCCCCGCAGCUGCCUGCCGCUGCCCUGCCUUUGAGCUUCCCAGACAGCCCGGCCAGGCCUCCCCGCACCCGUGACCAGAGGCUCAAGGAGGUCCAGGCCGGGGCCGCCCUCCAGGCCUCGGUAGUGUUGCCCCUGCUCGCUGCCGCUGCGCCCCGGCGGCGGCUUGUGCGCAGAAACCUCCGCGCUGCCUCGGGGCCUUUGCAGCAUCCGCACAGAGCCAAGCAGCUUCCACGUGGAUCGAACUCGAACUCGGCAUCUUGACUGAACAUUGUGUCCCCGGCAUCCCUGCGCGGGAAGUCUUGGGGCUGGGUCAUGUUUAUUCGUGGGACGCAUGCCACAGCAUGGCUUGAUAAAUGCUGUGUAGGUCUGUGGCUGGGAUCUGAACUGGCGAGGCCUGGGCCACUGAAGCGGAGUGCAUGAACUUAACUGCUACGCCGCCACCAGAUAAUUCUUAUGAGGAGAUAUUGUAUGUGAAGUGGUUAGAAGAAUGCCUGGCACAUAAUAUGCACAGAACAAAUGUUGGAUGUCAGCAUUUUGAAACUGAGGAUGAAGGAGUUGAAGUUUCCUUGGAUUAGGAUAAAACAGCCUGUGCCUACAAAGUGAACGUGGGAAACCAAACCUGCAGGAUGACCACUGAUAAGACAGUAGCUUCCUGACAGCCUCCCACCUCACUAAGCAUCAUGCAGGAGCAAUGAGAAGCUAAAAUGACCAAUUGACUUUGACUGGAUAUUUCUUUACACACUGAAAAUUCAUUCACCCUACUGCCACUUCUCAGGACCUGUGACGGGGAAUGAAAAUCCAAGCUGCCUUUGAGAUAUCACCCUGAAGCUUGGGCUCUAGACCUCCUGCAGCAUCGCCUCUGCUGUAUUCUAUUAGUCAGAGCAAUUUUCGGGGCCACUCCAAAUUUAAGAGGUCAGGAAAUAGACUCCAACUGUUGAUGAGAGGAACUAAAAAUGAUUUGUGGCCGUAUUUAAUCUACCACACUAUCCUAUUCCUGCUAUUAAAAUUCCUUUGGGAUGAUCUUUGAAAAUAAUUUUGUGAAUAAAACAGGGCAAAAUUUUCAAUGAAUUUGUCUAGAAUAAACCAUACAUUGUCAAGUCUGUAGCUCUUGCUGGUUGUAAGCUCUUUAUCCAUGACUCUCACCUUAUUCACAUUUCUAUCCCUUCUAUUUAGUGUAGUUCCUGAGAGAGAGUAUGCAGAAAAGUACUUGUUUUAUGAAUGAUUGAUUAAACCAUAACAUUCUUUCUACAAAAGUCAUAAAAUGUCUAAAACGUAAAUGUUGAAAUCUUAUCUCUACUUCUCGGGCCAAAGGGCCUCCAACAGGCUUACUGUUCUAAAUAAUCCCCAAACAUUAAUAAGUAAGAGCAACUAUAUUCAAAGAGUUUUAUACAUUCAAUUAAGUAUGUUUUAGAUGUUUAAUGUGAUACCACAAAUAAGACGCCCUCAAUUUAGUUGUCUUUCUCAAGGUGGACAAAAUGAUUGUGCACAUUGGGGCACACCACAGAAGAUACUUUUCAAAAGAAAAC